Molecule: ribosomal RNA, 224 nt
Filed under: uncultured bacterium
Lineage: Bacteria
Description: partial 16S ribosomal RNA
Rfam family: Bacterial small subunit ribosomal RNA
Source: RNAcentral
GAUCAUGGCUCAGGAUGAACGCUAGCGACAGGCCUAACACAUGCAAGUCGAAGGGGCAACAUGGUAUCUAGCUUGCUGAUACUGAUGGCGACCGGCGCAGUGGGUGAGUAACGCGUAUGUAAUCUACCUGUAACAGAGGGAUAACCCGGAGAAAUCCGGACUAAUACCGUCAUAGCACAUAUUAUUCGCAUGAAUUUUAUGUUAAAGAGACUCGGUUACAGAUG